CACGUAGGGGGCAAGCGUUGUCCGGAUUCAUUGGGCGUAAAGAGCUCGUAGGCGGUUCGAUAAGUCGGGUGUAAAACCUCCAGGCUCAACCUGGAGACGCCACCCGAUACUGUCGUGACUAGAGUCCAGUAGGGGAGCGUGGAAUUCCUGGUGUAGCGGUGAAAUGCGCAGAUAUCAGGAGGAACACCAGCGGCGAAGGCGGCGCUCUGGGCUGGAACUGACGCUGAGGAGCGAAAGCGUGGGGAGCGAACAGG
This 254-nucleotide ribosomal RNA is filed under the name uncultured bacterium. Its description in RNAcentral is "partial 16S ribosomal RNA". It matches the Rfam family "Bacterial small subunit ribosomal RNA", at positions 524 to 776 of the family's 1533-position model. The record is from RNAcentral.